RNAcentral lists this long non-coding RNA (860 nucleotides) under Hordeum vulgare. RNAcentral's name for it is "long non-coding RNA (HVUL_LNC006124)". The record is from RNAcentral. Lineage: Eukaryota; Viridiplantae; Streptophyta; Magnoliopsida; Poales; Poaceae.
CUUUGGAUAACUCCCACUGCCUGGUCAUGCGGCAUCCCUCUAGGUAGCGUAGGCGCCACUCCUCCCAGGUCGUGCGCAUGCAUGGCUUGCAGCCGUUGUAACCAACACCACAGCGUGUAUAUAUGUGUACUCUCUGAUGCAAUACAAUCAUCAAUCUCAGCGCAUCAUUCUCUAGUUGAGCAAGCAUCAAGCAUCACCGAAGCCAUUUCGGUCGAACAAAUAGCACCUUGAUGACGGCUAAUAAGGUCAUGGUCCACUGGAGCGGAUCCACAGGUGACAUGAUCUCUCCGUGCAAUAAUAAUAUUUGCAAUACAUCGAUCAAUCCUUUGGUUAGCAAAAAAGAAUCCAAUUGCAACGUGACAUGUUGCAUGCAUGAUUGCAGGUCGCAUGUGAUUGGUUGGAUAUAUGGCCAAAUGGGGCACAUGCCACAUGAGGAUGGGGAUGUGCAGCAGAUGCGAUCGCCAUAUCGGAUCUGUCCCCCGCCGUCGAAAAUGACGUUUAGCUAAUUAAUCAUCUACUCUCUUUUUCCUUGAGAUUUUUUUAAACAGAGUACAAUCAAAGUCGCUCACAUAUACUGAGCGUACACUCAUCUCUAUUAACGCAUGUACGCACACUCUAUCCCUAUGGUUUUGCAUGCAAGCACCAAUGUCAAGUCUGAAACUUAUAUUCUAGUGGACACGGGAUAUCAGGAUUGGUUUGCCUCUUUUUCCUUGAGAUAGAGGGUAGUUCCAUCGGCCACCAUCGUUGAUUCAAGGAAGAGUUUUAGAGUAUCUACAGUAGUAAUUAACUUGCAAAUUCGGCCUCUUAAGACAUUCACAGACAUUAAUCGAUCGCACCUUAAAUAAUGUAUUCUAUAACUG